Molecule: long non-coding RNA, 1115 nt
Organism: Mycetomoellerius zeteki
Lineage: Eukaryota; Metazoa; Arthropoda; Insecta; Hymenoptera; Formicidae
Exons: 2
Source: RefSeq, a predicted model, not a curated record
AUUUUUUUAAAUCCUAUUUUUACCACUGGUGUAAUCAAGUAUGUAAUUUAGACAUUAAAAAUCGGAUUAUUUGUGUUCUAAUAUACCUAAUAAUAAUAUGUUCGAUAUACCAAAGUCGUCUGAAAAGUUUUGAGCCUCAAUAUGUCAUCAGUCGACGUCAGUGUUUUUGAAAAAAUCGAAUCUCGUGCCGUGAUUAAAUUCUUGCAUUUGAAAGGCAAAACGCUUGCGCGAAUUAAAGCCGAGUUGGACGCUGUUUAUGGGGACUUUGCCCCACCAUUUGCCAUCGUGAAAAGAUGAGCAGCUGAAUUUAAACGUGGUCGUAUCAGCUUGGCUGAUGAGCGUUCGGGACAGCCAACAACUGCGGCCACUACCGAUAACGUUGAAAAAAUUCACGAAAUCGUACUGAAUGACUGUCGAAUCAAAGUUAGAGAGAUAGCAGAGCAUAUCGAUAGAACGUGUUUAUUAACUGAAGACUUAGAUAUGCGUAACUGCGCAUUGGGUGCCGCGCUUGGUCACUGUGGACCAAAAACGCAUUCGAAUGAACAUUUCCAAGACUCUGUUGGAGCGGUUUAAGCGAAAUGAGUCGGAUUUUUUAUGUCGAUUAAUAACUGUUAAUGAAACUUGGAUCCACUACUUCACUUCUGAGACGAAGGAAUAGUCAAAACAGUGGAUUGCAAAGGGUGAACCUGCUUCGAAGAAGGCGAAGACAGUUUCAUCGACCGAGAAGGUGAUGGCAAUUUUUUGGGAUAGUCGUGGAAUCGUGUUCAUCUACUAUCCUAAAAAAGAUAAAAAAAUAUCAGGAGUGUACUACGCAUCAUUAAUUGACAAGCUGGAGGCAGAAAUUGCGAAAAAAACGGCCGCAUUUGAAGAAGAAAAUGCUGUUCCAUCAAGAUGACGCACCGUUUCACACUUCGCCGUUCGCCAAGGCAAAAAUUUACCAAUCGGGAUUCGAAUUGAUUGAUCACCCACCGUAUUCACCAGAUUUGGUCCCCAGCAACUUUUUCCUGUUUCCUAGGCUCAAAGUUUGGCUCGGAGGAUAGAGAUUUUUAUCAAAAGAGCAGGUCAUCGCAUCCGUAGAAGCCUAUUUUGCAGAGCAAGACGACAACUAUUAUUUG